GCUAGCGUAGCUUAAUGCAAAGCAUGGCACUGAAGAUGCCAAGAUGGGUCUUAAACCACCCCGCGUGCA
This 69-nucleotide transfer RNA is filed under the name Puntius sahyadriensis (Khavli barb). Its description in RNAcentral is "tRNA-Phe". It matches the Rfam family "tRNA". Rfam says of the family: Transfer RNA (tRNA) molecules are approximately 80 nucleotides in length. Lineage: Eukaryota; Metazoa; Chordata; Actinopteri; Cypriniformes; Cyprinidae. The record is from RNAcentral.